Molecule: long non-coding RNA, 578 nt
Organism: Anthonomus grandis grandis
Lineage: Eukaryota; Metazoa; Arthropoda; Insecta; Coleoptera; Curculionidae
Exons: 2
Source: RefSeq, a predicted model, not a curated record
AUUGCCUAAUAUUUACAUAUUUUAUGUUUAAAUUUUCAAUCAAAACUUUCAAGGGUUCGACGUUUCAAAAGUUAUUAUUAUUUUUUCAUUUAUAUAUUAUAUUUGUGUCGUUGUUUUAAUUUAUAAAUAUGAUACCUUCAGUGAAUCAAGAUGACAAUCAUCCAAAUCAUCCCUUGAAUGAAACAUUACUAGAGAUGUUAACCCAACCUAUUGAAUACACCGUUGAGGAUCCUCCUUUCAUGCGUUCAAGCAAGACCACCAUUGUGCGAUUCAUUGUGGCUGGAAAUAUAUAAGUAGUUUGAAGAAAAUUCAUUCGGAAUCGGAAUUUUCCGAAAAAUUUGCCAAGCAAUCAAAGUUCCCUCGAAUCAUCGGAGCAUCGUAUGACGGAUGCAUAAAAAAUCAUCUUAAAUUCGUUUCGUGAUUAUCAAGUUACUAAUUAAACGAUUACACGAACUUACCUGUAAAGAUCAAUCGUAAGUAUAGGAACUAUUACUUACUGUACAUGUCCCAACUCUAAUUACAGACGAUUUUUUUUCGCCUCUGUAUAUGAUAUAAUAAAAAGUGUUUGUUUGAAAAUA